This 2361-nucleotide unclassified non-coding RNA is filed under the name Leishmania donovani. Its description in RNAcentral is "gene:LdHU3.08.0910(CDS-product:Amastin_surface_gl ycoprotein_putative)". The record is from RNAcentral. Lineage: Eukaryota; Euglenozoa; Kinetoplastea; Trypanosomatida; Trypanosomatidae.
GCUCUCCCUCGCUGUCUUCGGCUUGCACCCCCGCGUUCCCCUCGCCAGCGUCACUGCGCGAUCUCGACUCCCCUGCCGUGUGUCCCCGUGUGUGCCUCCGCUGUGCCUCUCUCAGCGUUCCGCCGUGGGCCUUCGAAGAUGGCGUACCCGGUCGGUAUUAUUCUCUACGCGAUCCUCCAGUUCAUCGCGUUCCUCUUCGUGCUGGUCGGUACGCCGAUCGACAUGUUCCGUGGCACCACCAAGGACCUGUUCAACAUAUCACUGUGCAUAACCCUGUGGGGUUCAAAGUUCGAGUGCAAGACCAUCAUGUACGCCAUGCCCACCGACGACCAGUGGAAGUUUUGCCCGACCCGCCUCCAGCAUUUCCACAUAGCCCAGAUUUUGUCCAUCAUCUCCGUCUUCGUGUACGCCCUUGCGGCGCUGCUCGGCUUCAUUAUGCUGUGCUGCUGCUCUUUGCUCCGCUGGCUCUGCCUGGUGUUCAACAUCGCUGGCAUCAUCACGUUGGGCAUCACCUGGGGGUUCAUGGUGGUGGAGUACGGUAGGAAUGAGAGCAGGUUUUGCCCCCCUCUGCGGAAGGACUACAAGUUUGGGGUCGGCUUUGCUCUUUUCAUGGUGGCCUGGGUCCUGAAUCUCAUCAACAUCGUCUUCUUGCUGCUCCCGUGGGAGAUUCUGGAGUCAGAGGAGAGUGAGAAAUCGAAGGAAUACACGGAGCAAGAAUAGGAGGCAUGAGCCGCAGGAAGUGACGGGCAAACGUGGCGGCAGCGCGGCAGCUCCACGGCGACGUCCUCGUGGAGGAGCCGGCGGGAAAGACGGAGGGAGCGGAGGCUGCGGACGCUCGCCCCUGACUUUCGCCGGCAUCUCUCCCGCUCUCGCUCGCUGCCCUCUCGUGCGCGCGACCGCUUGCGGGCGUGUUCGCGGUUUCUCCCUCGCCUGCUUUCGUCUUCUCCUGCGUGUGUCCUUUGUGGAGCUUUCCGCCUCCCCCUUCGCUUCUGCCUUUUCGAUCUGCACAGCGAUCUGCGCGUUGUGGUGGGCAGCGCACCCUUGACGGCGACACGCCCAUCGAGGGCCCCCUCACGCACACCGCAUGGACUCCUCAAACGGAGAGGUGGAGGGAGGGGGUGUGCGAGGUGCCACAGGUGUGGUGGUGGCAGGGGCAGGAGCCAAGGAGGCUCACGUGUAGGCGCAGCGGGAAGACAGGAGGGCGGCGUCCGUGCGCCCAGCGGCGACACACAGGUGCAUACGCAACGCUAAAGCGAGGCGAUUGCAGCUCUGGCUCCUGAUCUUUCCUUGCGCCCCAUGCACGGCCUACGUGUGUGCGCGCACACCCGCGCGCGCGCAGGUGCGUAGGAGGGGGCACCCCCUUCUUCAGCGAAUGCCCCUUCGGCGUCGCCCCUCCCUUGCUGCGGCGACUCCCCGCGCCCCUCGCGCCCACACGGAGAAGGCGGCACCACGACAGGGAAGCCGUCGGGCGCACUCUCGGUCCUCCGCGGGCCAACGACGCGGUCGGGGUGCGUGCGUGCGCGUGCCUCAAUAUAUGCGAAGUCUUUGUUAUCUCUUUGCCUUCCGUGUGUCGUUUCUUUUUUUUCGCUUCGCUUGUUUGUUUGGUGGCCUCAUCACACCGCCGAGUCCUCCAGACGCGGGUGUAGAGAGUGUCCACACCGUAUUACGGCAUGCCGCGGCUUGAAGCGAGUGAGCGAGAGGCGUGGCAUAUGCAGGCAGAGCACAGGGUCUCAAAGGGCCCUGGCCUGCGGCUGGCCAACCUUCUCUCUGCGCUUGCCGGGCAUGCACCUUGGCCACCGCCUGUUGCCCACACGACUGACGUCGCCGCUUCCGCCCUCGAGCAGGAGCCUGGACGCGGCCCGCCUGGACCGAGGCAUGCCGUCCGCCCGGGUCUCCGUCUGGCGCCGCAAGCGCCGCACGUACCCGAGGAAGGGACGAGCAAGGGCAAGAUGAGCCGGUCAGACGCAGGGCCCCCGGUUGAACGGCAGGCAGUGCGCCCUUGGCGGCCAGGAUGUUGCCGUGGUGCAACAGAGGCGUGCGAGCUGUGGUUGAAUGCGUAUAUUUGUCGACGUGUUCGUGGUGGAGCGAGGCGUAGAGGGGUGCCUCGCUGCCACGGGCGGACACGCAAAACGUCAAUAGCACAUAACAGCAAAACAGAAAAGGGGGAAUGCACGCGCGCGCGCACGCACGCGGACGACAAUGCAGACGUCCUCGAUUUUGCUUGCUCCUCCGACGGCUCCGCAUGCCGGCUCCGCCUGGGACGCCACGGCGUGUGUGCGUGUGUGCGUGCGCCCUUCCCCUUUUCCUUUCUUCCCUCGCCUUGUCUUUUGUUCUGUACGGUGCCUUCCUCGAGCGUUUCUG